Spinacia oleracea (spinach) is the source of this 815-nucleotide long non-coding RNA. RefSeq lists it as uncharacterized. The record is from RefSeq and is a predicted model, not a curated record. NCBI's taxonomy places the organism in Eukaryota, Viridiplantae, Streptophyta, Magnoliopsida, Caryophyllales, Amaranthaceae. The transcript has 3 exons.
CACCUUCCCUGUAAAACAAAUCCCCCAUUUUCUCUCUCUUCUUUUUCGUCUUUAUCACUCCAAAUUUAACUAUAUAUUUUCUUUGUUCCAGAUUUCAAUCUUACUCAUAAUCAAUCAAUUCUUCAAUUACAAUUUCAUCAAACUUUUUUCCUUCUUAAUUAUAAAAGAUGUUUUAAUCCUUUGUUAUUUUUCUGGUGUUCUUGGAUACUACUAGUGUUUGUAAAAGUUUUUUAGUGGUUUAUUGAACAAUUAAUCAAGACUGGCGAGUUUGGAGGUUUAGUAAAUGGCGGGUCAGCUUGGUCUACGCCAACCAUUUCUUGGGUUGAAAGCCAUUAGAGUUCAAAUUUUCGGGUUUAGAAGCUUUAUUUUGGGAGUUCGGUAUUCAAAGUUAUCUUCUGUGAAAGAAAAAGAAGAAGAAGAACGGAGCGUGGUUAGAGUGCAAUUCGACCAUAGUUUCUCUGUCUAAUUAAUUUUCUAUGGUGUUCCGUUGAAGAAUUUGCAGCCCGUUAUUUAUCGAUUAUCGAGUAUGUUAUAUUCGGAAAGGGUGAGCAGUCAAGAUUGAUUGGAGCCGAUUGAUCAUGAAGGAUCGCAGUUACAAGUUGAAGGAUCUCAAGUAUUAUCGUUUAGUCUUUUAUGACAGUUUAAUGUUUUUCAGUUGUACAGUUGUAAAUAGAUCACCUAGUAAUCGAAUUGUAACAGUUUGAGUUUUGUAAGCCUUAGCACUUGACAAUGUAGUCAAGUGUGGCGGUGAUACCUCCGAUAUAGGUGUAAGCUUCCGCAAAAUUUUUAUAAAGUCUAUAUAUCUCUUUUUUAUU